GGGGGUAUAGCUCAGUGGUAGGGCACAUGCGUAGCAUGCUUGAGGUCCUGGGUUCAAUCCCCAGUACAUUCA
Transfer RNA from Camelus ferus (Wild Bactrian camel), 72 nucleotides. It matches the Rfam family "tRNA". From Rfam's summary of the family: Transfer RNA (tRNA) molecules are approximately 80 nucleotides in length. Their secondary structure includes four short double-helical elements and three loops (D, anti-codon, and T loops). Further hydrogen bonds mediate the characteristic L-shaped molecular structure. tRNAs have two regions of fundamental functional importance: the anti-codon, which is responsible for specific mRNA codon recognition, and the 3' end, to which the tRNAs corresponding amino acid is attached (by aminoacyl-tRNA synthetases). tRNAs cope with the degeneracy of the genetic code in two manners: having more than one tRNA (with a specific anti-codon) for a particular amino acid; and 'wobble' base-pairing, i.e. permitting non-standard base-pairing at the 3rd anti-codon position. NCBI's taxonomy places the organism in Eukaryota, Metazoa, Chordata, Mammalia, Artiodactyla, Camelidae. The record is from Rfam.